This 487-nucleotide ribosomal RNA is filed under the name Hanseniaspora guilliermondii. RNAcentral's name for it is "partial large subunit ribosomal RNA". It matches the Rfam family "Eukaryotic large subunit ribosomal RNA", at positions 147 to 648 of the family's 3401-position model. Lineage: Eukaryota; Fungi; Ascomycota; Saccharomycetes; Saccharomycodales; Saccharomycodaceae. The record is from RNAcentral.
AAUUUGUAGAAUUUGUCUUUGAUUAGGUCCUUGUCUAUGUUCCUUGGAACAGGACGUCAUAGAGGGUGAGAAUCCCGUUUGGCGAGGAUACCUUUUCUUUGUAAGACUUUUUCGAAGAGUCGAGUUGUUUGGGAAUGCAGCUCAAAGUGGGUGGUAAAUUCCAUCUAAAGCUAAAUAUUGGCGAGAGACCGAUAGCGAACAAGUACAGUGAUGGAAAGAUGAAAAGAACUUUGAAAAGAGAGUGAAAAAGUACGUGAAAUUGUUGAAAGGGAAGGGCAUUUGAUCAGACAUGGUGUUUUUUGCAUGCACUCGCCUCUCGUGGGCUUGGGCCUCUCAAAAAUUUCACUGGGCCAACAUCAGUUCUGGCAGCAGGAUAAAUCAUUAAGAAUGUAGCUACCUCGGUAGUGUUAUAGCUUAUUGGAAUACUGCUAGCUGGGAUUGAGGACUGCGCUUCGGCAAGGAUGUUGGCAUAAUGGUUAAAUGCCGC